AGUGAACGCUGGCGGUAGGCCUAACACAUGCAAGUCGAACGGCAGCACAGUAAGAGCUUGCUCUUACGGGUGGCGAGUGGCGGACGGGUGAGGAAUACAUCGGAAUCUACUUUUUCGUGGGGGAUAACGUAGGGAAACUUACGCUAAUACCGCAUACGACCUACGGGUGAAAGCAGGGGAUCUUCGGACCUUGCGCGAUUGAAUGAGCCGAUGUCGGAUUAGCUAGUUGGCGGGGUAAAGGCCCACCAAGGCGACGAUCCGUAGCUGGUCUGAGAGGAUGAUCAGCCACACUGGAACUGAGACACGGUCCAGACUCCUACGGGAGGCAGCAGUGGGGAAUAUUGGACAAUGGGCGCAAGCCUGAUCCAGCCAUACCGCGUGGGUGAAGAAGGCCUUCGGGUUGUAAAGCCCUUUUGUUGGGAAAGAAAAGCAGCAGGUUAAUACCCCGCUGUUCUGACGGUACCCAAAGAAUAAUCACCGCCUAACUUCGUG
Molecule: ribosomal RNA, 492 nt
Filed under: uncultured bacterium
Lineage: Bacteria
Description: partial 16S ribosomal RNA
Rfam family: Bacterial small subunit ribosomal RNA
Source: RNAcentral